RNAcentral lists this long non-coding RNA (273 nucleotides) under Hordeum vulgare. RNAcentral's name for it is "long non-coding RNA (HVUL_LNC002299)". The record is from RNAcentral. Lineage: Eukaryota; Viridiplantae; Streptophyta; Magnoliopsida; Poales; Poaceae.
UCUUGGGAAUCUCCAGAUUUUUCUUCUUUUGAUACUCCUUAGCUUUAUCCAUAAUAUUGAUGUCCCCAUGUCCUCUAGUAGUAGGCCUGAUGGAUAGAACUGGACCCCAUUUAGUAGAUUCCUCCUGAAAUUUCCCUUUAUUUUCCGAUUCAGUCUGUUCCAAGGUAUCAAGAAGAGAUCUCUUAGUGGAGCUGAAGAUUUUAAUCAUCUCAUCAGGGAGGCAUUGCAUCUCUGGAAGUUUGUCCAUACAUUCCUCAUCAGAUUCAGCCAUAU